GAUGAACGCUGGCGGCGUGCCUAAUACAUGCAAGUCGAGCGAACAGACGAGGAGCUUGCUCCUCUGACGUUAGCGGCGGACGGGUGAGUAACACGUGGAUAACCUACCUAUAAGACUGGGAUAACUUCGGGAAACCGGAGCUAAUACCGGAUAAUAUAUUUAACCUCAUGGUUCAAUAGUGAAAGACGGUUUUGCUGUCACUUAUAGCUAGCUCCGCGCCGCAUUAGCUAGUUGGUACGGUAACGGCUUACCAAGGCCACGAUGCGUAGCCGACCUGCGAGGGUGAACGGCCACACUGGAACUGAGACACGGUCCAGACUCCUACGGGAGGCAGCAGUAGGGAAUCUUCCGCAAUGGGCGAAAGCCUGACGGAGCAACGCCGCGUGAGUGAUGAAGGGCUUCGGAUCGUAAAACUCUGUUAUUAGGGAAGAACAAAUGUGUAAGUAACUAUGCACUUCUUGACGGUACCUAAUCAGAAAGCCACGGCUAACUACGUG
This 497-nucleotide ribosomal RNA is filed under the name uncultured bacterium. Its description in RNAcentral is "partial 16S ribosomal RNA". It matches the Rfam family "Bacterial small subunit ribosomal RNA", at positions 28 to 507 of the family's 1533-position model. The record is from RNAcentral.